Molecule: ribosomal RNA, 429 nt
Filed under: Gemmatimonadota bacterium
Lineage: Bacteria; Pseudomonadati; Gemmatimonadota
Description: Gemmatimonadetes bacterium partial 16S ribosomal RNA
Rfam family: Bacterial small subunit ribosomal RNA
Source: RNAcentral
UAGGGAAUCUUCGGCAAUGGACGAAAGUCUGACCGAGCAACGCCGCGUGAGUGAAGAAGGUUUUCGGAUCGUAAAACUCUGUUGUUAGAGAAGAACAAGGACGUUAGUAACUGAACGUCCCCUGACGGUAUCUAACCAGAAAGCCACGGCUAACUACGUGCCAGCAGCCGCGGUAAUACGUAGGUGGCAAGCGUUGUCCGGAUUUAUUGGGCGUAAAGCGAGCGCAGGCGGUUUCUUAAGUCUGAUGUGAAAGCCCCCGGCUCAACCGGAGAGGGUCAUUGGAAACUGGGAGACUUGAGUGCAGAAGAGGAGAGUGGAAUUCCAUGUGUAGCGGUGAAAUGCGUAGAUAUAUGGAGGAACACCAGUGGCGAAGGCGGCGCUCUGGUCUGUAACUGACGCUGAGGCUCGAAAGCGUGGGGAGCAAACAGG